Molecule: long non-coding RNA, 814 nt
Organism: Meriones unguiculatus (Mongolian gerbil)
Lineage: Eukaryota; Metazoa; Chordata; Mammalia; Rodentia; Muridae
Exons: 6
Source: RefSeq, a predicted model, not a curated record
UUUCGUUUGUGCUCUUGAGUUCCAGCUUAUUCACAUCAGGUUAAGCUGGUCCUCGCUCUCUACUUCCUGCCCGUAUUUUCUUCCUCCCUGCCCACCCUGUUGACCUCAAGCCAGCACCACAGGCAGAAGCAACAGCUGUUUACAAGCCAGCCAGCCACCUCCCACAGCGGCAUGAGGAAUUUGGCAGAGGAGCAGCUUCAGAUGCCUGAUGGUGUACUACUAUUCGGUCGAGGCCAUCAAUCAACAGAAUUGCAGAAUGACGUGAGGAACACUUGGCUUUUUUAAUAUUUGGAGGAAAUAUGCAGUCCCUGUUGCUGAACAGUUGCUUCCUCACACCCUACCCUAUCAGGCGUGGUGGCAGCCGUAUGCAGUUGUUGGUGGAAAAGAUCAUUCUGAGUGAAAUAUCCCAGAAGGAGAAGGACAAACACGUUCCUGAAAUGGUGCCUCCUGCAUUCUUCUCUCCCAAGAUAAAUACUGUCACAGACACACCUAAGGCUGCAUCUACCAGAUCUGGCUUUUGGCUCCUGUGAUAUGUCAGAAAGAAGAAAAAGAAAGAUUGCUGAACACAUGAGCUGCUUCCUGAAUCUUGGAGACUUUUGUAAGAACAGCUUAGACCUUCCAUCUGAAGCACAACACAGGGAUUGAAGCAGAAGAGGGGACAGUUUUUCCUUCUGGCUGGACAGAGCAUUACCUCGGAGCAGUCAGGAAAUGUUCCUCUUCUAUCUUAUAUGUAAGAUUAAAAAUAAAAAAUGCAUGACUUCCAGGUAAUCUAGUACACAGAUUACAAUUGGAGCGUACAGUCAACAGAAAUGUA